This 26-nucleotide non-coding RNA is filed under the name Mus musculus (house mouse). Lineage: Eukaryota; Metazoa; Chordata; Mammalia; Rodentia; Muridae. The record is from RNAcentral.
UAUCGUGGGCUUGUGCUGAGAGCCAA